CACUAAGAAGCUAAAUGAGCGUUAACCUUUUAAGUUAAAGACUGGGACUUUACCUCCCCUUAGUGA
RNAcentral lists this transfer RNA (66 nucleotides) under Taphozous melanopogon (black-bearded tomb bat). RNAcentral's name for it is "tRNA-Lys". It matches the Rfam family "tRNA". Rfam says of the family: Transfer RNA (tRNA) molecules are approximately 80 nucleotides in length. The record is from RNAcentral. Lineage: Eukaryota; Metazoa; Chordata; Mammalia; Chiroptera; Emballonuridae.